Molecule: long non-coding RNA, 2167 nt
Filed under: Carica papaya (papaya)
Lineage: Eukaryota; Viridiplantae; Streptophyta; Magnoliopsida; Brassicales; Caricaceae
Description: long non-coding RNA (CPAP_LNC009304)
Source: RNAcentral
AACAAAAUGAACGGCUGUGAUCAAAAGGCAAGGGGUUAUAAAUAGAACCCCCACACCAGACCACAAACCCUAGCCGCCAGCCGCUCGCCGGAGAAGACGAACCAGAGGCCGACCGCCGCCACCCGCCGCCGCUCGCCGCCGCACCGGGGAAAUUUCCGACCGCCGAUCGAGGUAAAUUUCAUACCCCCGACUCGUUUUUCCCCACUGAUUCCUCCUAUGGCCAAAUCGAAGCCGAAAUCCCGGCCAAACGGCCGGAAUACGCGGCCGAAGCCCAGCGGCGCCGCCGCGCCCCCUCUCGGUUUUUGCCUCCGACGAGGCCCUUCCCGGCCUCCGUUCGAUGCAAUUUUUAUAUCACCGUGAUCACCAUUCUUUUCUCUACAGGUUGACCGGAGCCGAAUCACCAAAACACGAACCUCGCCGGAGAGCCGCUGCACCCGAGAGCGCCGCCACCGGUAAGCUCCGUUUUUCCGUGAUUUUUUGGCCCCCCGAGGGCCCUAGGGUUGUUUCUGACAAGGACCAAUGCGAGUGUGGCCGAAUUCGGCCGAAAACGGCCGAAAACAGUCAACCCGAGGUGACUCGCCGCCGCCAGCGGCGGCGCCGUCGCCGGAGCACGGCGGAGCCGCCUUGCCGGAGUUGCGAUUUGGGCCGAAAGAGGCCCUGGGCCUAAUUUGGAUUUUUUUUGGAACACGUGCAGGUACGGUUAGUGUGUUUCAGUUUCCCGGGAAAAAUUCAGGGAAAAUUAGGGACGGCCUGCAGGCGCACUGUGAAUCGUAUUCGGAUCCCGAAAACAAGUAAGGACCCCUCACCCUAUUUCCUAUCACGGUAUUAAAGUUCAAAAUGAUAAAACGGUAUUUCUUGAAUUAACGCAUGUGUGAAAUUGCUUAAGGUUGCUAAUGGAGCCCGAGUCUAGUGUGAUUGAUGAUUUACUGUUAUUUGGCCUGUUUUACACUGUUUUACAGCUUUAAAUGCAUUAUGGGGUUUGAUGUGUUCAUUUUAUAGUUUCGAAUGCAUAUAUUACUGUUUUAUUAAUUAUGGGUUGAAUGACUGAAGAACUGAUACUGUAUGUUGUCUGUUGGUAUGAAUUACGAUUUGCUUGUUUAAAUGUGAAUUGAUGAUGCUUAUUGAGGAAAAGGAAAAUGAAACAUUGUAUAGACUGAUAAUUGUAUGAUGGGGUCAGCCUGACUAGAUAUCCUGGGAGAUGGUGGACGGACCGGGUCCGUAGGGAACCCUACCGGGAUUGUGGUCUCACAUGCCGGACGGGGUAUGGAGAUCUUAUGGUUUUGGCGCCCAUACCGGACGGGGUAUGGGGACGGCCCGUUUCACCCUCAUACCGGACGGGGUAUUGAGGUUUAUGGUUUUGGCGCCCAUACCGGACGGGGUAUGGGGACGGCCCGUUUCACCCUCAUACCGGACGGGGUAUUGAGGUUCAUGGUUUUGGCGCCCAUACCGGACGGGGUAUGGGGACGGCCCGUUUCACCCUCAUACCGGACGGGGUAUUGAGGUUCAUGGUUUUGGCGCCCAUACCGGACGGGGUAUGGGGACGGCCCUGGAAACUGAUUAUGAAUGUCAAAGGUUAACGGGUAGCGGAACCCCUAUGGACCCCCACGGAUACUAGUAGGCUGGUAAAUGAGAAAAGAGAUAUGUUGUACAAUGAUUGAAUUACAAGAGGCGUGAUAAGUGUUAUGUUUUACAGCUUAUAUUAUUCAAUGAUUAUGAUAAUGUUAUUGUUUUUCUUAUAUAGUUUUCAUAAAUUCCACCAAGGUAAGUGGAUGGUAAAGGUUUUCAUGUUAAUAAAAGAGUUUGUUGUAAAUUAUGCUCCAUUGGUCUUUUUGUGUUUUUCUACCCACCUUUAUCUCCGUGACGGUGAGAUAUCGUGAUGUUCUUACUGGGCUAGUGUAGCUCACUCCUUAAUUAACCAUUUCAGAUCAGGAAGACAUGGUUCCCGAGCCCGUUCCGCAGGAGGACGACAAAGGGGAUGCCUAGAGACUCUGUAGUCAUACGCAUAGUUUUAUUUUCGAGUUUCUUUCUUAGUUAGUUUAAUCUUUUAUAUUUUAAGUACGUUUUUUGGUUUUUCGUGUAAGGGAUGUUAACUAAAAUUUUGAUCUCGCUUCCGCAUUCGAUAUAUUUAAAUACUCAUUUCUUUUUAAUAUUUCCGGGGCCGUUACAG